GAUGAAGAACGCAGCGAAAUGCGAUAAGUAAUGUGAAUUGCAGAAUUCAGUGAAUCAUCGAAUCUUUGAACGCACGUUGCGCCCGUCAGUAUUCUGGCGGGCAUGCCUGUUCGAGCGUCAUUACGCCCCUCAAGUCCCCUGUGGACUUGGUGUUGGGGAUCGGCGAGGCUGGUUUUCCAGCACAGCCGUCCCUUAAAUUAAUUGGCGGUCUCGCCGUGGCCCUCCUCUGCGCAGUAGUAAAACACUCGCAACAGGAGCCCGGCGCGGUCCACUGCCGUAAAACCCCCCAACUUUUUAUAGUUGACCUCGAAUCAGGUAGGACUACCCGCUGAACUUAAGCAUAUCAAUAAGCGGAGGA
This 358-nucleotide unclassified non-coding RNA is filed under the name soil metagenome. Its description in RNAcentral is "partial contains 5.8S ribosomal RNA, internal transcribed spacer 2, and large subunit ribosomal RNA". The stretch from base 1 to 120 matches the Rfam family "5.8S ribosomal RNA", at positions 35 to 154 of the family's 154-position model. The record is from RNAcentral.